UGCACAUGGUAAGAGGAAGCCCGAGAGCCC
This 30-nucleotide non-coding RNA is filed under the name Rattus norvegicus (Norway rat). The record is from RNAcentral. Lineage: Eukaryota; Metazoa; Chordata; Mammalia; Rodentia; Muridae.